Molecule: ribosomal RNA, 301 nt
Filed under: uncultured bacterium
Lineage: Bacteria
Description: partial 16S ribosomal RNA
Rfam family: Bacterial small subunit ribosomal RNA
Source: RNAcentral
CAGCCGCCACGGUAAAACGAAGGGGGCUAGCGUUGCUCGGAUUUACUGGGCGUAAAGGGCGCGUAGGCGGACAGUUAAGUUGGGGGUGAAAGCCCGGGGCUCAACCUCGGAAUUGCCUUCAAUACUGGCUGUCUUGAGUAUGAGAGAGGUGUGUGGAACUCCGAGUGUAGAGGUGAAAUUCGUAGAUAUUCGGAAGAACACCAGUGGCGAAGGCGACACACUGGCUCAUUACUGACGCUGAGGCGCGAAAGCGUGGGGAGCAAACAGGAUUAGAUACCCGUGUAGUCCCUGUCUCUUAUAC